RNAcentral lists this ribosomal RNA (1554 nucleotides) under Staphylococcus aureus. RNAcentral's name for it is "16S ribosomal RNA". It matches the Rfam family "Bacterial small subunit ribosomal RNA". RNAcentral also lists the same sequence under 1 other name. The record is from RNAcentral. Lineage: Bacteria; Bacillati; Bacillota; Bacilli; Caryophanales; Staphylococcaceae.
UUUAUGGAGAGUUUGAUCCUGGCUCAGGAUGAACGCUGGCGGCGUGCCUAAUACAUGCAAGUCGAGCGAACGGACGAGAAGCUUGCUUCUCUGAUGUUAGCGGCGGACGGGUGAGUAACACGUGGAUAACCUACCUAUAAGACUGGGAUAACUUCGGGAAACCGGAGCUAAUACCGGAUAAUAUUUUGAACCGCAUGGUUCAAAAGUGAAAGACGGUCUUACUGUCACUUAUAGAUGGAUCCGCGCUGCAUUAGCUAGUUGGUAAGGUAACGGCUUACCAAGGCAACGAUGCAUAGCCGACCUGAGAGGGUGAUCGGCCACACUGGAACUGAGACACGGUCCAGACUCCUACGGGAGGCAGCAGUAGGGAAUCUUCCGCAAUGGGCGAAAGCCUGACGGAGCAACGCCGCGUGAGUGAUGAAGGUCUUCGGAUCGUAAAACUCUGUUAUUAGGGAAGAACAUAUGUGUAAGUAACUGUGCACAUCUUGACGGUACCUAAUCAGAAAGCCACGGCUAACUACGUGCCAGCAGCCGCGGUAAUACGUAGGUGGCAAGCGUUAUCCGGAAUUAUUGGGCGUAAAGCGCGCGUAGGCGGUUUUUUAAGUCUGAUGUGAAAGCCCACGGCUCAACCGUGGAGGGUCAUUGGAAACUGGAAAACUUGAGUGCAGAAGAGGAAAGUGGAAUUCCAUGUGUAGCGGUGAAAUGCGCAGAGAUAUGGAGGAACACCAGUGGCGAAGGCGACUUUCUGGUCUGUAACUGACGCUGAUGUGCGAAAGCGUGGGGAUCAAACAGGAUUAGAUACCCUGGUAGUCCACGCCGUAAACGAUGAGUGCUAAGUGUUAGGGGGUUUCCGCCCCUUAGUGCUGCAGCUAACGCAUUAAGCACUCCGCCUGGGGAGUACGACCGCAAGGUUGAAACUCAAAGGAAUUGACGGGGACCCGCACAAGCGGUGGAGCAUGUGGUUUAAUUCGAAGCAACGCGAAGAACCUUACCAAAUCUUGACAUCCUUUGACAACUCUAGAGAUAGAGCUUUCCCCUUCGGGGGACAAAGUGACAGGUGGUGCAUGGUUGUCGUCAGCUCGUGUCGUGAGAUGUUGGGUUAAGUCCCGCAACGAGCGCAACCCUUAAGCUUAGUUGCCAUCAUUAAGUUGGGCACUCUAAGUUGACUGCCGGUGACAAACCGGAGGAAGGUGGGGAUGACGUCAAAUCAUCAUGCCCCUUAUGAUUUGGGCUACACACGUGCUACAAUGGACAAUACAAAGGGCAGCGAAACCGCGAGGUCAAGCAAAUCCCAUAAAGUUGUUCUCAGUUCGGAUUGUAGUCUGCAACUCGACUACAUGAAGCUGGAAUCGCUAGUAAUCGUAGAUCAGCAUGCUACGGUGAAUACGUUCCCGGGUCUUGUACACACCGCCCGUCACACCACGAGAGUUUGUAACACCCGAAGCCGGUGGAGUAACCUUUUAGGAGCUAGCCGUCGAAGGUGGGACAAAUGAUUGGGGUGAAGUCGUAACAAGGUAGCCGUAUCGGAAGGUGCGGCUGGAUCACCUCCUUUCU